UAAGGAAUAUUGCUCAAUGGGAGAAAUCCUGAAGCAGCAACGCCGCGUGGAGGAUGAAGGGUCUAUGACUUGUAAACUCCUGUAAAGAAGGAAAAAAUUCCCAUUAGAUGGGAGAUGAUGGUACUUCGGGAGUAAGCCCCGGCUAACUACGUGCCAGCAGCCGCGGUAAUACGUAGGGGGCAAGCGUUAUCCGGAUUUAUUGGGUUUAAAGGGUCCGUAGGCGGACUUAUAAGUCAGUGGUGAAAGCCUGUCGCUUAACGAUAGAACUGCCAUUGAUACUGUAAGUCUUGAGUAUAUUUGAGGUAGCUGGAAUAAGUAGUGUAGCGGUGAAAUGCAUAGAUAAUACUUAGAACACCAAUUGCGAAGGCAGGUUACCAAGAUAUAACUGACGCUGAGGGACGAAAGCGUGGGGAG
This 414-nucleotide ribosomal RNA is filed under the name uncultured bacterium. RNAcentral describes it as "bacterial SSU rRNA". It matches the Rfam family "Bacterial small subunit ribosomal RNA", at positions 355 to 768 of the family's 1533-position model. The record is from RNAcentral.